UUAAGUGACGAUAGCCUAGAAUACACCUUUCCCAUGCGAACACAGAAGUUAAGCCCUAGAGCCUGAUGUAGUUGGGGGUUGCCCCCUGUUAGAUACGGUAGUCGCUUAGC
RNAcentral lists this ribosomal RNA (110 nucleotides) under Streptococcus salivarius. Lineage: Bacteria; Bacillati; Bacillota; Bacilli; Lactobacillales; Streptococcaceae. The record is from RNAcentral.